RNAcentral lists this long non-coding RNA (402 nucleotides) under Monodelphis domestica (gray short-tailed opossum). RNAcentral describes it as "lncRNA (ENSMODG00000043374.1)". The record is from RNAcentral. Lineage: Eukaryota; Metazoa; Chordata; Mammalia; Didelphimorphia; Didelphidae.
UAUAUCUCCUUUAAUCUUUACAACCCUCUAAAUUGGAUGUUAUUUCUGUCUCUAGUUUACAGAUGAGGGAACCAAGGUACUCAAAGAAUCUCUCACAAAGGAGGAUUGGAUACUGAUAAUGCUGUUGGAAAUUAUUGUUCAGAUGAUGUGAAAUCUGAGCUCAAGUUUGAGAACCCGUGGCCUAGAAGAAAAUCAAAAUAUGGAUAAUAGUACUUGCUCUGGCUCAUCCAAAAGUUCUCAAGUAUAAAGUACUUUGUAAAACUGAAAGUACAACAUAAAAAAAUGUGAAUUAUUGUUAACUCUCUCAAUUUAUAGAAAAGGAAAUGGAAACGCAAUGAGAUAGAGUACUUGCUGAAGGGCAGAGUCAGUAGCAAAACUGAGGCUUCUUUAAUUGAGGCUCCU